Molecule: ribosomal RNA, 497 nt
Filed under: uncultured bacterium
Lineage: Bacteria
Description: partial 16S ribosomal RNA
Rfam family: Bacterial small subunit ribosomal RNA
Source: RNAcentral
GACGAACGCUGGCGGCGUGCCUAAUACAUGCAAGUUGAGCGCUGAAGGUUGGUACUUGUACCAACUGGAUGAGCAGCGCACGGGUGAGUAACGCGUGGGGAAUCUGCCUUUGAGCGGGGGACAACAUUUGGAAACGAAUGCUAAUACCGCAUAAAAACUUUAAACACAAGUUUUAAGUUUGAAAGAUGCAAUUGCAUCACUCAAAGACGAUCCCGCGUUGUAUUAGCUAGUUGGUGAGGUAAAGGCUCACCAAGGCGAUGAUACAUAGCCGACCUGAGAGGGUGAUCGGCCACAUUGGGACUGAGACACGGCCCAAACUCCUACGGGAAGCAGCAGUAGGGAAUCUUCGGCAAUGGACGAAAGUCUGACCGAGCAACGCCGCGUGAGUGAAGAAGGUUUUCGGAUCGUAAAACUCUGUUGGUAGAGAAGAACGUUGGUGAGAGUGGAAAGCUCAUCAAGUGACGGUAACUACCCAGAAAGGGACGGCUAACUACGUG